AACCUCGACGGAAAAAACGGCGAGAAACAGUAUCUGGCGGGCAGUUUGAGUGGGGCGCUCUCCUCCCAAAAAGUAACGGAGGAUUCUAUUAAGGUCAGCUAGGCGCGAAUGGAAACCGUGCCGAUAGUGUAAUGGCACAAGCUGGCUUGACUGUGAGACGUACAUGUCAAACAGGUGCGAAAGCAGAGCAUAGUGAGCCGACCGUACGCGUUAGAUGCGGCGGAAGAUCAAAGGAUAAAAGCUACCCUGGGGAUAACAGGCUGGUUGCGCCUAAGCGUCCAUAGCGACGGCGCAGUUCGGCACCUCGAUGUCGGCUCAACUUAUCCUGGAGGUGGAGAAGCUUCCAAGGGUAUGGCUGUUCGCCAUUUAAAAAGUUACGCGAGCUGGGUUCAGACCGUCGUGAGACAGGUUGGACUCCUAUCUACUGCAGGCGUUCGAUUCUUGAGGGGAUUUGACUCUAGUAAAUUUUGCUACUUCACGAAGUAAUUUGUGAUGACAAAGUGGCUAAUAACGGUGAAAUCUUGUGGACGUUUGGUCUGUUGAUAACUAUUGCCGGCCUAGUCCGUAGGCAGUGGUACAAUGGUAAGUAUAAACUUACUUGAGGACCAGAAAAACACAAGACAAUACCGUGGGAAGUCGAUCCAAUCAUCUUGCUUAUAUUGCUGGGUUUCUUGAUGGAGACGGAAGCUUAAUGCUUCAAAUCAAGAAGCGUAAGGACGGCGCGCUUAAAAGGCGUUUUAUGCCGACCAUUUGCUUCUAUCAAGACACUCGACAUGAAAAGCCGUUAAUGUGGGUUAGAGAAAUUCUUGGUAUCGGGUACCUUUCCAAAAGAAAUGAUGGAAUGACCGAAUUAAGAAUAAAUGGAUUCGUACAAGUGCGAGAUAUACUCAAAGCACUUAUGCCAUACAUUCGUUUCAAGAAACUUCAGGCUAUUGCUUUACGUAAAGCCUGUGAAAUUCUUUCUCUAGCCAAACGGAGACGACUCAUAAAUAAGCAACUACUCGUUUUAGCUGAUCUUAUCUUAGUAAUUCAAGAAGAAAAUUAUGUUACUAAGAAAAAGCGGUCUAAAAACGAAUUGUUAGAGAUGUUGGGUUUGACCCCGUAACGACUUGUCGGUGAAAGCCGGCAGACUUGCAUAAUGAGGAAUCGUUUCAUUGAAAACGACAGCAUAUGCAAGUAAUACGCCAACACCCUAAAACAUUUUAAAAUGUUUGGGUGAAGAUAUAGUCUGCGCUCCUAGUGAUAGGGGAAUGACGCGACGAGAGGACCGAGUUGAACCGACCUCUGGUGUACCUGCUGUCCUGCCAAGGGCACCGCAGGGUAGCUAAGUCGGGCACGGAUAAAUUCUGAAAGCAUCUAAGAAUGAAGCCAACCCCAAGAUUAGGAAUCGUUAUUAGGGCCCUGGGAGAUGACCAGGUUGAUAGGCGCUAGGUGUAAGCACCGCAAGGUGUUGAGCCGAGGCGUACUAAUUGCCCGAAUUCUAUUAGGAA
Molecule: ribosomal RNA, 1490 nt
Filed under: bacterium
Lineage: Bacteria
Description: partial 23S ribosomal RNA
Rfam family: Bacterial large subunit ribosomal RNA
Source: RNAcentral